AAUGCCCCUCCUGCUCUCUGAAGCUCCCUCCACAGACUCCUCCACCCCAGAACCUUCCGACAGGUAUGUCUAGAGGUCAGUUUGGACAGGGACAGGAACCUCUAGACAUGUUUUUCUGGGUGAACGAGAUAAGCGGAGAAAUCACCUACCCCCCGCAGAAGGCAGAUGCACCUGCUGUUUCUCCUGAGAGCCCACAAAAGAAGCCCCCAUUUCAGCCCAGGAGUGUGCAGGAGGCUCCUUGCAGUCCCCAGGGCCCGCCUGCACAGAGGCCUGCCCUUGCACCUCCAUCUAAGCCUUCUCUGAAAGACUCAGGCUCAAGAAACCCCUGCCCAUCUGCACCCACCUGGGCCAGGCCAAAGCCGGAGGAGUGAGGAGCCCCCACCGUUCUCAGCAAUCCCUGUCACCAUCUCAUCACCAGGAGUGACUCUGCCCAUACUCGGACCCCUGGGACCAGCCCUUCAGCCACCGGUCUCGACCUCUCCUCUCAGCCCUUCUGCACCCUGGGCCUUCACCUGCAAGCUGAACAAUGUCCUUACUGGGAAUAACUGGUUUUCCUUUUGAAUCUUAAGAAAAUUUGUCUGGCUACACUCUUUAAGCACCUUCCUGAGCCACCCGUGGCCAGGCUCUGCUGGCCGCAUCUGCCUGGCCCCAUCUACCUUCCCUGGAAGCACAGGACUCACCCCAGGGGUCUCACAGGAACAUGCCCAGUGCUUUCAAACCCAGUAAAAUUUUACUUAGAUUUUGA
RNAcentral lists this long non-coding RNA (745 nucleotides) under Homo sapiens (human). Its description in RNAcentral is "non-protein coding lnc-ZNF445-14:2". Lineage: Eukaryota; Metazoa; Chordata; Mammalia; Primates; Hominidae. The record is from RNAcentral.